Long non-coding RNA from Impatiens glandulifera, 326 nucleotides. RefSeq lists it as uncharacterized. The transcript has 4 exons. Lineage: Eukaryota; Viridiplantae; Streptophyta; Magnoliopsida; Ericales; Balsaminaceae. The record is from RefSeq and is a predicted model, not a curated record.
AAAAGAUGCAAGCAUGAAUAAAUAAAUUGUAAUCUUUGUUGGCUGACAAAGGGAGCCUUCGAGACAUCUUCCACUUUGUGCAGAAAUGAAUCUAGUUAAGGAAUUGAGUGUGACAUGGCAUGUGGAUUUAUACUCGGAAUUGCUCAAGAUUGGAGUGUAUAAAAGGUUGAUAUCAAUAAAAUGAAGAAAAAAUAUUACUCCUAAGAAGAAUGUCUUAAUUUGAGGGAAGUUAAGUCACUAAAAAAAUGAAAUAUCCGAAUAUCGUAAAACUUACGGAAGUCAUUAGAGUGAACGGUGUAUUGGUAAGAUUCUUGAAAAAAACUUUG